UACUGUUAUGUGAAAUCUGAAUCUGAAAUGCCAAACUAGCUGGAUUCACUUCUUGUUCAUUGUUCUUUGUUCUCACAGUAUUAUCCGUAAAGACUAGAUUAGACUUCCAUCAACAUCUUUCUACUAUGAAUAUGUUCUGAAUUUUUCAAAUCAUGUAUUUUAUGCAGCUAGAAACGUCGUCUAGUUUUCUAGAAUGCGAGGUUAAAAGAACUUGGCUUUCAGUCGGUGGAAGAAGGUUGAGCUAUUUCUGGUCAACACGGUGCCUUCUCAAAUUAGUUUCUUUGCAUUUGAUUGCCAAUAAUCAUUUAUGAUGACUGUUCUGCUAUUCAAGGAGGUGAAGCUCAACUGUGUGCCCAGUGUGGCAGUCCUGAUGCAUUGAUACAUGUGACGUCACUAAUGUGUCACUUCAACCUAGUUUGGCUGCUACAGUCAGCGACGCACAGUGACGCGGUCAGCAUUCAACGUCACUGAGAUGUGUUGAAGAAAGCGUCUCAAUAUCAGUACCUUCCUCUGGUCCACAAUGACUGUGCAUCAAUAUAGGAAGCCACCGCAAUAUAUCCUACAAAUGGAUUCAUAAUGAAAAU
Nilaparvata lugens (brown planthopper) is the source of this 584-nucleotide long non-coding RNA. RefSeq lists it as uncharacterized. Lineage: Eukaryota; Metazoa; Arthropoda; Insecta; Hemiptera; Delphacidae. The transcript is spliced from 3 exons. The record is from RefSeq and is a predicted model, not a curated record.